UGGCAGGGCAUGUUUCUGUUUUGGUGUC
RNAcentral lists this non-coding RNA (28 nucleotides) under Homo sapiens (human). Lineage: Eukaryota; Metazoa; Chordata; Mammalia; Primates; Hominidae. The record is from RNAcentral.